Molecule: ribosomal RNA, 491 nt
Filed under: uncultured bacterium
Lineage: Bacteria
Description: bacterial SSU rRNA
Rfam family: Bacterial small subunit ribosomal RNA
Source: RNAcentral
UAGUCCACGCUGUAAACGAUGCUUACUCGCUGUUGGCAAUAUGACAGUCAGCGGCUUAGCGAAAGCGUUAAGUAAGCCACCUGGGGAGUACGUUCGCAAGAAUGAAACUCAAAGGAAUUGACGGGGGCCCGCACAAGCGGAGGAGCAUGUGGUUUAAUUCGAUGAUACGCGAGGAACCUUACCUGGGCUUAAAUGUAGAACGACCGAUUCAGAAAUGAUUCUUUCUUUAUGACGGUCUGCAAGGUGCUGCAUGGUUGUCGUCAGCUCGUGCCGUGAGGUGUUGGGUUAAGUCCCGCAACGAGCGCAACCCUUGCCCUUAGUUGCCAGCACGUUAUGGUGGGGACUCUAAGGGGACUGCCUGCGCAAGCAGAGAGGAAGGUGGGGAUGACGUCAAAUCAUCAUGGCCCUUACGCCCAGGGCUACACACGUGCUACAAUGGCUGGUACAGCGGGUUGCUAUGUGGCAACACAGUGCCAAUCUCUAAAACCAGU